This is a non-coding RNA of Mandrillus leucophaeus (drill), 771 nucleotides long. Lineage: Eukaryota; Metazoa; Chordata; Mammalia; Primates; Cercopithecidae. The record is from the annotation of a RefSeq genome assembly.
AGAGGACCAGUAUCCCUCGCAGGGUGACACCUGACCAGCUCUGUCCCACCUGGCCAUGGGCUCCAGGUACCUCUGAUGGGAAGUCCUUUGUCUCCUGGGACCCGGUGAGUCCUUGGCACAGGCCCAGUGGAUUCUGCUGUGCAGAACAGAGAGCAGUGGACCUCAGGAGGCCUGCAAGGGGAGGACAUAGGACAGCGACAUCACAGGAUGCCCCUCCCACCAGGAAAAGCGAGGCUGAGAACUCAGCUCUUCCCCAGGAGGACCAAGCCCGGAGCACAGACACAGUGCUGCCUGCCCCUUGGUGCCACGGGCUCCAUGCUGCUCUGCUGGGCACUGCUUUGUCUCCUGGGAGCAGGCCCAGUAGAGGCUGGAGUCACUCAAACUCCAAGAUCUCUGAUCAAAAUGAGAGGACAGCAAGUGACAUUGAGCUGCUCCCCUAUCUCUGGGCAUAGGAGUGUGUCCUGGUACCAACAGACCCCAGGACAGGGCCUUCAGUUCCUCUUCGAAUACUUCAGUGAGACACAGAGAGAAAAAGGAAAGUUCCCUAGUCGAUUCUCAGGGCGACAGUUCUCUAACUCUCGCUCUGAGAUGAAUGUGAGCACCUUGGAGCUGGAGGACUCGGCCCUUUAUCUCUGUGCCAGCAGCUUGGCACAGCCCUACAAAGCCAACCACAUUCUGUGCACAAACCUCCCGGGCCCAGUGUGGAGCAACCUCAGCCCUGACAUAUCUGUGAGAACGUGGGGACUGCAGGGAGAAAGAAAGGCAAUUUAG